CCUACGGGGGGCAGCAGUGGGGAAUAUUGCACAAUGGGCGCAAGCCUGAUGCAGCCAUGCCGCGUGUGUGAAGAAGGCCUUCGGGUUGUAAAGCACUUUCAGCGGGGAGGAAGGCGUUAAGGUUAAUAACCUUGUCGAUUGACGUUACCCGCAGAAGAAGCACCGGCUAACUCCGUGCCAGCAGCCGCGGUAAUACGGAGGGUGCAAGCGUUAAUCGGAAUUACUGGGCGUAAAGCGCACGCAGGCGGUCUGUCAAGUCGGAUGUGAAAUCCCCGGGCUCAGCCUGGGAACUGCAUUCGAAACUGGCAGGCUAGAGUCUUGUAGAGGGGGGUAGAAUUCCAGGUGUAGCGGUGAAAUGCGUAGAGAUCUGGAGGAAUACCGGUGGCGAAGGCGGCCCCCUGGACAAAGACUGACGCUCAGGUGCGAAAGCGUGGGGAGCAAACAGGAUAAGAUACCCGGGUAGUC
RNAcentral lists this ribosomal RNA (465 nucleotides) under uncultured Klebsiella sp. Its description in RNAcentral is "bacterial SSU rRNA". It matches the Rfam family "Bacterial small subunit ribosomal RNA", at positions 338 to 795 of the family's 1533-position model. Lineage: Bacteria; Pseudomonadati; Pseudomonadota; Gammaproteobacteria; Enterobacterales; Enterobacteriaceae. The record is from RNAcentral.